UAUGUUCCUUUUGUGCCAGCCGCCGCGGUAAUACGGAGGAUCCGAGCGUUAUCCGGAUUUAUUGGGUUUAAAGGGAGCGUAGAUGGGUUGUUAAGUCAGUUGUGAAAGUUUGCGGCUCAACCGUAAAAUUGCAAUUGAUACUGGCAGUCUUGAGUACAGUUGAGGUAGGCGGAAUUCGUGGUGUAGCGGUGAAAUGCUUAGAUAUCACGAAGAACUCCGAUUGCGAAGGCAGCUUACUAACCUGUAACUGACAUUGAUGCUCGAAAGUGUGGGUAUCAAACAGG
This 284-nucleotide ribosomal RNA is filed under the name Phocaeicola massiliensis B84634 = Timone 84634 = DSM 17679 = JCM 13223. RNAcentral's name for it is "partial 16S ribosomal RNA". It matches the Rfam family "Bacterial small subunit ribosomal RNA", at positions 493 to 776 of the family's 1533-position model. The record is from RNAcentral. Lineage: Bacteria; Pseudomonadati; Bacteroidota; Bacteroidia; Bacteroidales; Bacteroidaceae.